GGGGGCGUAACUGGUUUCGACGGGAAAGAUUUUUAAAGGUGCAAAGCGUGUGGUAGGCAGUUACCUUAAAAAGCAAACAAAAUAAACGCAAAUAAUAACAAACUUGCUGUUGCAGCGUAGUCUCACAGCUGUCCGCGUUAGAACUCUCGCGAACUAACAAAGGGCAUUAACUUAGCGGGGAACAUUUAAUUGUUGUGCCAAUAAGCAGUUAAAGGAAUUUCAUUGGCUAGCAAAUUUAAUUUUUGUAUGUUUUAAUUGAUUUGCGAAAUUUCAAAGCAUACUGCACACGGAGAAAAGCCUUGUAAAACUUUUUCGGACGAGGGUUCAAUUCCCUCCGUCUCCACCA
RNAcentral lists this small RNA (346 nucleotides) under Bacillota bacterium. RNAcentral describes it as "transfer-messenger RNA". It matches the Rfam family "transfer-messenger RNA". Rfam says of the family: Bacterial tmRNA, also known as 10Sa RNA or SsrA, is named for its dual tRNA and mRNA-like properties. Its role is to liberate the mRNA from a stalled ribosome. The record is from RNAcentral. Lineage: Bacteria; Bacillati; Bacillota. RNAcentral also lists the same sequence under 2 other names.